Molecule: ribosomal RNA, 845 nt
Filed under: uncultured bacterium
Lineage: Bacteria
Description: bacterial SSU rRNA
Rfam family: Bacterial small subunit ribosomal RNA
Source: RNAcentral
AGGCUGGUAGAGGUGGUCGGAACAAUAGGUGGAGCGGUGAAAUGCGUAGAUAUCUAUUGGAACACCGAAGGUGAAGACAGGCCACUGGGCCAGUCCUGACGCUGAGGCACGAAAGCGUGGGUAGCAAACGGGAUUAGAUACCCCGGUAGUCCACGCCGUAAACGAUGCGCACUUGGUCGAGGGGGUUGAACGCCUUCUCGGCCGUAGGAAAACUGAUUAGUGCGCCGCCUGGGGAGUACGGUCGCAAGAUUAAAACUCAAAGGAAUUGACGGGGGCUCACACAAGCGGUGGAGCAUGUGGCUUAAUUCGAAGCAACGCGAAGAACCUUAUCCUAGGCUUGACAUGCACGGAUUAACCUCCUGAAAGGGAGGCAACACUCGCAAGAGUGGAACGUGCACAGGUGCUGCAUGGCUGUCGUCAGCUCGUGCUGUGAAGUGUCGGGUUAAGUCCCUCAACGAGCGCAACCCCUGUCACUAGUUGCAAACAGGUAAUGCUGUGGACUCUAGUGAGACUGCCGGUGUCAAACCGGAGGAAGGUGGGGAUGACGUCAAGUCCUCAUGGCCCUUAUGCCUAGGGCUGCACACGUGCUACAAUGGCACCGACAGAACGAUCCGAGACCGCAAGGUGGAGGAAAUCGCUCAAAAGGUGCCCCAGUUCGGAUUGGAGGCUGCAACUCGCCUCCAUGAAGUUGGAAUCGCUAGUAAUCGCGGAUCAGCUACGCCGCGGUGAAUAUGUUCCUGAGCCUUGUACACACCGCCCGUCAAGUCAUGGAAGCCGGUAGCGCCCGAAGUCGCCUCAUUUCAGGGGUGCCCACGGCGAGGCUGGUGACUGGGACUAAGUCGUAA